AUCCUGAGUACGACGGAGCACGUGAAAUUCCGUCGGAAUCUGGGAGGACCAUCUCCUAAGGCUAAAUACUCUCUAGUGACCGAUAGUGAACCAGUACCGUGAGGGAAAGGUGAAAAGCACCCCGGAAGGGGAGUGAAAUAGAACCUGAAACCGUGUGCUUACAAGUAGUCAGAGCCCGUUAAUGGGUGAUGGCGUGCCUUUUGUAGAAUGAACCGGCGAGUUACGAUUUGAUGCAAGGUUAAGCAGUAAAUGUGGAGCCGUAGCGAAAGCGAGUCUGAAUAGGGCGUUUAGUAUUUGGUCGUAGACCCGAAACCAGGUGAUCUACCCUUGGUCAGGUUGAAGUUCAGGUAACACUGAAUGGAGGACCGAACCGACUUACGUUGAAAAGUGAGCGGAUGAACUGAGGGUAGCGGAGAAAUUCCAAUCGAACCUGGAGAUAGCUGGUUCUCUCCGAAAUAGCUUUAGGGCUAGCCUCAAGUGAUGAUUAUUGGAGGUAGAGCACUGUUUGGACGAGGGGCCCCUCUCGGGUUACCGAAUUCAGACAAACUCCGAAUGCCAAUUAAUUUAACUUGGGAGUCAGAACAUGGGUGAUAAGGUCCGUGUUCGAAAGGGAAACAGCCCAGACCACCAGCUAAGGUCCCAAAAUAUAUGUUAAGUGGAAAAGGAUGUGGCGUUGCCCAGACAACUAGGAUGUUGGCUUAGAAGCAGCCAUCAUUUAAAGAGUGCGUAAUAGCUCACUAGUCGAGUGACACUGCGCCGAAAAUGUACCGGGGCUAAACAUAUUACCGAAGCUGUGGAUUGUCCUUUGGACAAUGGUAGGAGAGCGUUCUAAGGGCGUUGAAGCAUGAUCGUAAGGACAUGUGGAGCGCUUAGAAGUGAGAAUGCCGGUGUGAGUAGCGAAAGACGGGUGAGAAUCCCGUCCACCGAUUGACUAAGGUUUCCAGAGGAAGGCUCGUCCGCUCUGGGUUAGUCGGGUCCUAAGCUGAGGCCGACAGGCGUAGGCGAUGGAUAACAGGUUGAUAUUCCUGUACCACCUAUAAUCGUUUUAAUCGAUGGGGGGACGCAGUAGGAUAGGCGAAGCGUGCGAUUGGAUUGCACGUCUAAGCAGUAAGGCUGAGUAUUAGGCAAAUCCGGUACUCGUUAAGGCUGAGCUGUGAUGGGGAGAAGACAUUGUGUCUUCGAGUCGUUGAUUUCACACUGCCGAGAAAAGCCUCUAGAUAGAAAAUAGGUGCCCGUACCGCAAACCGACACAGGUAGUCAAGAUGAGAAUUCUAAGGUGAGCGAGCGAACUCUCGUUAAGGAACUCGGCAAAAUGACCCCGUAACUUCGGGAGAAGGGGUGCUCUUUAGGGUUAACGCCCAGAAGAGCCGCAGUGAAUAGGCCCAAGCGACUGUUUAUCAAAAACACAGGUCUCUGCUAAACCGUAAGGUGAUGUAUAGGGGCUGACGCCUGCCCGGUGCUGGAAGGUUAAGAGGAGUGGUUAGCUUCUGCGAAGCUACGAAUCGAAGCCCCAGUAAACGGCGGCCGUAACUAUAACGGUCCUAAGGUAGCGAAAUUCCUUGUCGGGUAAGUUCCGACCCGCACGAAAGGCGUAACGAUUUGGGCACUGUCUCAACGAGAGACUCGGUGAAAUCAUAGUACCUGUGAAGAUGCAGGUUACCCGCGACAGGACGGAAAGACCCCGUGGAGCUUUACUGUAGCCUGAUAUUGAAAUUCGGCACAGCUUGUACAGGAUAGGUAGGAGCCUUUGAAACGUGAGCGCUAGCUUACGUGGAGGCGCUGGUGGGAUACUACCCUAGCUGUGUUGGCUUUCUAACCCGCACCACUUAUCGUGGUGGGAGACAGUGUCAGGCGGGCAGUUUGACUGGGGCGGUCGCCUCCUAAAAGGUAACGGAGGCGCUCAAAGGUUCCCUCAGAAUGGUUGGAAAUCAUUCAUAGAGUGUAAAGGCAUAAGGGAGCUUGACUGCGAGACCUACAAGUCGAGCAGGGUCGAAAGACGGACUUAGUGAUCCGGUGGUUCCGCAUGGAAGGGCCAUCGCUCAACGGAUAAAAGCUACCCCGGGGAUAACAGGCUUAUCUCCCCCAAGAGUUCACAUCGACGGGGAGGUUUGGCACCUCGAUGUCGGCUCAUCGCAUCCUGGGGCUGUAGUCGGUCCCAAGGGUUGGGCUGUUCGCCCAUUAAAGCGGUACGCGAGCUGGGUUCAGAACGUCGUGAGACAGUUCGGUCCCUAUCCGUCGUGGGCGUAGGAAAUUUGAGAGGAGCUGUCCUUAGUACGAGAGGACCGGGAUGGACAUACCUCUGGUGUACCAGUUGUCGUGCCAACGGCAUAGCUGGGUAGCUAUGUGUGGACGGGAUAAGUGCUGAAAGCAUCUAAGCAUGAAGCCCCCCUCAAGAUGAGAUUUCCCAACUUCGGUUAUAAGAUCCCUCAAAGAUGAUGAGGUUAAUAGGUUCGAGGUGGAAGCAUGGUGACAUGUGGAGCUGACGAAUACUAAUCGAUCGAAGACUUAAUCAA
Molecule: ribosomal RNA, 2513 nt
Filed under: Staphylococcus aureus
Lineage: Bacteria; Bacillati; Bacillota; Bacilli; Caryophanales; Staphylococcaceae
Description: bacterial LSU rRNA
Rfam family: Bacterial large subunit ribosomal RNA
Source: RNAcentral